GCAGAAAACACGCCGACGGACCGAGAGGCGACCUUGUCCCUGGUAGCGGAAGCAGGAGCAACGGCAGGAGGGAUGCGGAGCGCUCAGCUGCAGCCGCGCUUCUCGCCGGCGCCCUCGCUGCCCGAGCACAAGGACAGCCGCCCCGCCCGUUCCACCCGGUGCCCAAGGUCCCCCAGCUUCUCUGACCCCUCCGGCGUUUGCGGAACCUCCCGGGUCUGACGAGGACACCGCCGUUGCCCGAGGAGGCUACGGGGCAACGCAGAGCAGGCAGUGGGGACCGCAGGGCAGCCCCGGGGCGCCGUCCCCACCGCCCUUACCCUGGCUUCGCCUUGCCGCCGCGGGGAAUCCGGUGCGGACGCACGCGAACUCUGCCCGGGAGCCGAGGUGACGAUCUACCUGGUCUCGGUAAUAAGUAUUUGCAAAACACAUCACACCAAAAUCCCGUUAACUUCAUGAAAACUCACUUUAUAGGAUGAUUUUUGAAGAACCAGUUUAUUAAGAGAUUACACCAAAAGCAUAAACAAUUUAUACGUCAAACUCCGACUGAAAAAAAAAUAACCGAUAAGGAUGUUUUUUAAAUGUACUGUACUCACAAAUAACAAGACAAAUUUGACCUGUUCAAUAAAUAGAAAUGAAGUGGCUAAAAAUGUUUAAAUGGAAAUGGAAAACAGUCGUCUUCUUUGUACAGUUUUGAAGGGGUGCCCCCUAUUCACGCCUACACGUAGAAAAACCCUGACAAAAUCAGAGGUUCACUUAACACUCCAACCAUAUGAGCGUAUUAAGGUUUCUUUUCAGAUCUUAGGAGAUCUUGUCCACCUUAAUCCCAUUCACAGAUCUUAGGAGAUCUUGUCCACCUUAAUCCCAUCAUAAAGACUGUUG
RNAcentral lists this long non-coding RNA (879 nucleotides) under Homo sapiens (human). RNAcentral describes it as "non-protein coding lnc-HRH3-3:3". Lineage: Eukaryota; Metazoa; Chordata; Mammalia; Primates; Hominidae. The record is from RNAcentral.